RNAcentral lists this long non-coding RNA (214 nucleotides) under Capsicum annuum. Its description in RNAcentral is "long non-coding RNA (CANN_LNC001534)". The record is from RNAcentral. Lineage: Eukaryota; Viridiplantae; Streptophyta; Magnoliopsida; Solanales; Solanaceae.
CUUUUGUAAGUGGAUCCGACACAUUAUCCUUUGACUUUAUAUAGUCAAUAGUGAUAAUUCCACUAGAGAGAAGUUCCCUAACGGUAUAUGUCUCCGUCGUAUAUGACGAGAUUUACCGUUGUACAUCAUGCUCCCUGCCCUACCUAUUGCCGCUUGGCUAUCACAGUGUAUACAUAUUGGUGCCACUGGCUUGGGUUAAUACAGAAUAUCUUCC